Molecule: ribosomal RNA, 305 nt
Filed under: uncultured bacterium
Lineage: Bacteria
Description: bacterial SSU rRNA
Rfam family: Bacterial small subunit ribosomal RNA
Source: RNAcentral
AUAAGCCUACGGGAGGCAGCAGUAGGGAAUCUUCCACAAUGGGCGAAAGCCUGAUGGAGCAACGCCGCGUGGGUGAAGAAGGUCUUCGGAUCGUAAAACCCUGUUGUUAGAGAAGAAAGUGCGUGAGAGUAACUGUUCACGUUUCGACGGUAUCUAACCAGAAAGCCACGGCUAACUACGUGCCAGCAGCCGCGGUAAUACGUAGGUGGCAAGCGUUAUCCGGAUUUAUUGGGCGUAAAGAGACCGCAGGCGGUCUUUUAAGUCUGAUGUGAAAGCCUUAGGCUUAACCGGAGUAGUGAAUUGGA